Molecule: ribosomal RNA, 321 nt
Filed under: uncultured eukaryote
Lineage: Eukaryota
Description: partial 18S ribosomal RNA
Rfam family: Eukaryotic small subunit ribosomal RNA
Source: RNAcentral
CCCUUAGAUGUCCUGGGCCGCACGCGCGCUACACUGACAUGUUCAACAAGCCUCCUAGUUCGACAGGAUUUGGGAAAUCUUUGAACGCAUGUCGUGAUAGGGAUAGAUCAUUGCAAUUUUUGAUCUUGAACGAGGAAUUCCUAGUAAACGCGAGUCAUCAGCUCGCAUUGAUUACGUCCCUGCCCUUUGUACACACCGCCCGUCGCACCUACCGAUUGAAUGUUUCGGUGAAGAUUCCGGAUAGGACUUUUUUGAUUUAUUUCAAUUUUGUCUUAAAAGCUAUCUAAACCUCAACAUUUAGAGGAAGGUGAAGUCGUAACA